Molecule: ribosomal RNA, 253 nt
Filed under: uncultured bacterium
Lineage: Bacteria
Description: partial 16S ribosomal RNA
Rfam family: Bacterial small subunit ribosomal RNA
Source: RNAcentral
UACAGAGGUGGCAAGCGUUGUUCGGAAUUACUGGGCGUAAAGGGCGCGUAGGCGGCCUUCUAAGUCAGACGUGAAAUCCCCAGGCUUAACUUGGGAACUGCGUCUGAUACUGGGAGGCUUGAGUGCGGGAGAGGGAUGUGGAAUUCCAGGUGUAGCGGUGAAAUGCGUAGAUAUCUGGAGGAACACCGGUGGCGAAGGCGGCAUCCUGGACCAACACUGACGCUGAGGAGCGAAAGCCAGGGGGGCAAACGGG